GUUUGUGUGAGUGUGUGUGAGUAUCCUCCCAGCUUACAUAUGCACAUGUACCAGAAACUAGACGUACAACACACACACACACACACACACACACACACACACACACACACACACAUAUACAGUCUCACGUGUUUCAACACACCCAUCACCCAGCUUCCCGUCCAGCUUCUUCUUUUUCUCUAAACUUCGGCAAAAUAGAACAGAGUGUGUUCACUGCAGUGUCAGGUGCAGAGAAACACACACACACACACACACACACACACACACACUGAGAUAUAGAUGAUAAUCGAAGUGAGAUGAAAAGAGGAGGAGCAGGAGGAGGAUAUAUGGGUCAUCGAUAGACGUGUGAGACGUUUUGUGACAGAAGCGUGUCAGACUCUCGGCUCAGUGGGACGACACUCGCUCAGGAAGGUGAGUAACAUCUUCAGACUUUAUUCACACUACAAACCGGUGAAAGUGUAAAAUCGAUGGUGGGAUUAGAGCGCGUGUGAGAUUAGGAGUGAACGCUAGAAAAGGAAAGAAGCUCAGAGACCCGUGUGAUGGGCGAUGCUCAAAGCUGAACGUUUCCUCUCGAGCAGAGCUCUACACCACACGCUUCCACGCUGCAGCGCGGGCCCGAGGCUCUGCAGUGACACGAGCCGCGUCGCGAGACCGAACUCUUCACCACACGCACAACUCGUUCAUGUGCAUAACGUCUACAACAAAAUGAGGAAGAAGGUGCUGUAGAAUUAUUAUCAUUAUCAACUGCAUACGCGAGGAGGAGAACUGCUGCUUUACACAUCCUGUACAAGCCACACAUGCAUUUAUAUUAUUCACAACAACAACAACAACAACAACAACAACAAUAAUAAUAAUAAUAAUAAUAAUAAUAAUCUUUUAUUCAAUUUGUGCACAUUUUGUACAUAAAGUGCAUUUCAAAACACUUGAUGACACGAGGACAUGACAAAGAGCUGAUGAAGAAGUCCUGUGUGUGUGAGAGUGUGUGAGAGUGUGUGAGAGAGUGUGUGAGAGUGUGUGUGAGUGUGUGAGAGUGUUUGAGAGUGUGUGUGAGCGUGUGAGAGUGUGAGAGUGUGUGAGUGUGUGAGAGUGUGAAGAGUGUGUGUGAGAGUGUGAGAGUGUGUGAGAGUGUGUGUGAGAGUGUGAGAGUGUGUGAGAGUGUGAGUGUGUGAGAGUGUGUGUGAGUGUGUGUGAGAGUGUGUGUGAGUGUGAGAGUGUGUGUGAGUGUGAGAGUGUGUGAGAGUGUGUGUGAGAGUGAGAGUGUGAGAGUGUGUGUGAGAGUGUGUGAGAGUGUGUGUGAGUGUGUGAGAGUGUGAGAGUGUGUGAGUGUGUGAGAGUGUGUGAGAGUAUGUGAGAGUGUGUGUGAGUGUGUGAGAGUGUGUGAGAGUGUGUGUGAGUGUGUGAGAGUGUGAGAGUGUGUGAGAGUAUGUGAGAGUGUGUGAGAGUGUGUGAGAGUGUGUGAGAGUGUGUGUGAGAGUGUGUGUGAGAGUGUGAGAGUGUGUGAGAGUGUGUUGAUGAGCAGUGUGGUUUCCAGUGUGUGGAAGUGUUUAAAGACGGCGUGUGUUUUUGUCUGCUCGGGUGUUUAAUGUAACGAUGGGCUCGUGUUGAAUCCUCUAAAGCGAUGGACUGGAACAUGACGUGUAGAGACGUGUCGUUGGGUUAAAGCCCAUGCAAGCUGUUAACUUUACUGCAACCUUAAUGUUCUGAAAAUAACGGUCGUGAACGUUCCUACAACGCUGCUGUAACACUUUAUAUAACGUUCCUGUGAUUACAGCAGACGUUUUUGUGUUUGUUUGUUUGUUUUUUAUAACGUUGUAUGAACGUUAUUUCUAGAACGUUAUGACCCGACCUUCUUAGAACCUGCUGAAUAUUCACUGAGCUGAACGUGGGCUUGGUUUGAAUACUCUUACUGCACAUAUUACUCUGUGUUCGCGCGGUUGAACUUUAUGUUAACUUUAGCCCUCAUUCAGUCGACUAAUUCUGUGGAGUCUGCAGCUCCAACAGCGAAUAAACUGUAAGAAAACCAGUCACUUCGGGAGUUUAGAUGUUUAUUGCGAAACACAAUAAAGUUAUUCAUUUUUUUCAGAUUCUGUUUGAUAGGAAAUGGUUUUGCGUGAGUACACUAAACUAAUCUUCAUUUUCCCUCUCUUUCUUUCACAACUCUUUGACUUUCUGCACCACACCCCAGGUGCACUGAACAGGAAAACGAGAGAGAGAGAGAGCGAGAGCGCGAGAGAGAGCGAGACGGAGGGAGAAAGAGGAAGAGAAGGGUUGUGUCUUUCCGGCCUAGAUUAAUGCGAGUUUAACCUCAGAGAACAGCCACAGCACGGAGAAAAGAACAGAACUGAGACUGAGAUGAAGAGAUGUCAUGGUUAUGAAUAAAAAGUCAUCGUGUUUAAAUCUCUGCUGAAGAAACUAAAGCUGCAGAUGUUUAUGAUUUUCGGGACAUGCUGAAGCUCACGGCACGUACCUGAAUCGAACAUAUCCAAUCGCGGUACAAGAAAAAGCAAAAAAUAAAUAAAAAGCUCUUCACCGAGGUGCUGCAGUGAAACAGGAUGUACCUGCUUUUCAUCUCUCUGGUCUUCUCGCUAGCUCUCGGACCUGACGUCAGGCUCCUGAACGCAGAGGAGUCCACGAGCAUGCCGAGUAAAGAGAGCACGGUCUUCCCGCAGGUGACCGGAUCGAGAUCAGGUGAAAACUCUCCCACUGAGCCUGAGGAAACAACCAUGAAGAACAUGGAGUAUGAUAACAACAACUUCUCCACCACUGAAGGUCUAACAACUGAGACUGGGAAUGUGCCGCAAACAUCAGACGGACGCACAGUGAUGUCCAUUCCAGAGCUUCAGACUACUUCAGAGCUUCAGACCACGUCAGUGCAUCUGACUCCAGAGCCUGCAACCAUUCCUGCGACCGUCAUGACGACGAAUGAGCUCACCACUCCGGCUGCUCCUUCCGAACCCACGUCUCAGCCCGUGACGGAGAAGACCACUAUGACAAACAUCAUCAGCACUAAGCCUCCUGAGACCCCAUCUCAAACCAUCCCUGAUACAACAGCCUUAAGCACAAAACCACCAGUUUUCACACCUACACCUGCUUCUGUUGAGAAAGUGGAGACCACCGACACUUCUCCAACAACCAUGCCCACACCUAGCACCACCACCACCAUCACCACCACCACCACCACCACCAUGCCCACCACCCCCCUCAUCACCACCAUGCCCACCACCCCCCUCAUCACUACCCAGGGGCAGGCCACCAACCUGAACCUUGUACUGUCUACAGAGGGUGAAGGGUCCAGGACGGGAACUAAAUGGUUAAUCAUCGCUGUCAUAGCGUUGGUCAUUUUCGGCAUAUUAACGAUUUUUUGCGUCACCAUCCUCAUCAAACGCAAGCAGAAGCGAAGUGGCAAGCAGAGCUUCGGCUACACGAACGGACAGAGGUCCAAGAAGAAGAAAGGCACGGAGGACAACGUCUGGGCGGGGCCCGUGGAAUUAGGAGGCGGGGAUUGCGAGGCUCCAGAUGAAGGCGAUGUGCAAGGAGAGGAGAAGAAGACGGACGGGGGAGGGGAGGUGACGGGGCUCAGCACUUUCGUGCCUUCGGAGGAGAACGGAGGCGUGGGGCGGCCGGGGUCACCCGAGGUCGGGAAGUGGGAG
Ictalurus punctatus (channel catfish) is the source of this 3650-nucleotide long non-coding RNA. The record is from Ensembl. NCBI's taxonomy places the organism in Eukaryota, Metazoa, Chordata, Actinopteri, Siluriformes, Ictaluridae.